Molecule: ribosomal RNA, 684 nt
Filed under: uncultured bacterium
Lineage: Bacteria
Description: bacterial SSU rRNA
Rfam family: Bacterial small subunit ribosomal RNA
Source: RNAcentral
GUUACCUUCGGGUAAUGAGGAUGGCGGACGGGUGAGUAACGCGUAAGGAACUUGCCUCUUGGACUGGGACAACUGUUGGAAACGACAGCUAAUACCGGAUAUUAUGAGAUUCUCGAAUGAGAAACUUAUGAAAGCUAUAUGCGCCAAGAGAGAGCCUUGCGUUCCAUUAGCUAGUUGGUGGGGUAACGGCCCACCAAGGCGACGAUGGAUAGCCGGCCUGAGAGGGUGAACGGCCACAAGGGGACUGAGACACGGCCCUUACUCCUACGGGAGGCAGCAGUGGGGAAUAUUGGACAAUGGGCCACAAGCCUGAUCCAGCAAUUCUGUGUGCACGAUGAAGGUCUUCGGAUUGUAAAGUGCUUUCAGUUGGGAAGAAGAAAGUGACGGUACCAACAGAAGAAGCGACGGCUAAAUACGUGCCAGCAGCCGCGGUAAUACGUAUGUCGCAAGCGUUAUCCGGAUUUAUUGGGCGUAAAGCGCGUCUAGGCGGAAAAAUAAGUCUGAUGUUAAAAUGCGGGGCUCAACUCCGUAUUGCGUUGGAAACUGUUUUCUAGAGUACUGGAGAGGUGGGCGGAACUACAAGUGUAGAGGUGAAAUUCGUAGAUAUUUGUAGGAAUGCCGAUGGAGAAGUCAGCUCACUGGACAGAUACUGACGCUGAAGCGCGAAAGCGUGGGGAGCAAACA